Molecule: non-coding RNA, 114 nt
Organism: Phasianus colchicus (ring-necked pheasant)
Lineage: Eukaryota; Metazoa; Chordata; Aves; Galliformes; Phasianidae
Source: RefSeq, a predicted model, not a curated record
GGGGCCGGGAGAGCGGCGCGGGGCCGGAGGAGCUGCGGUGCGGUGCGCGGGGCUGGCGGAGGCCAGAGCAUAGCUGUGGACCUGUGGCUUCUCUUUCUGUGAGCUCUGACAGAG